This 430-nucleotide ribosomal RNA is filed under the name Pseudomonadota bacterium. RNAcentral's name for it is "Proteobacteria bacterium partial 16S ribosomal RNA". It matches the Rfam family "Bacterial small subunit ribosomal RNA", at positions 355 to 776 of the family's 1533-position model. The record is from RNAcentral. Lineage: Bacteria; Pseudomonadati; Pseudomonadota.
UGGGGAAUAUUGGACAAUGGGCGAAAGCCUGAUCCAGCCAUGCCGCGUGUGUGAAGAAGGCCUUAUGGUUGUAAAGCACUUUAAGCGAGGAGGAGGGUACUGGUAUUAAUACUACCAGGUACUGGACGUUACUCGCAGAAUAAGCACCGGCUAACUCUGUGCCAGCAGCCGCGGUAAUACAGAGGGUGCGAGCGUUAAUCGGAUUUACUGGGCGUAAAGCGUGCGUAGGCGGCUAAUUGAGUCGGAUGUGAAAUCCCCGAGCUUAACUUGGGAAUUGCAUUCGAUACUGGUUAGCUAGAGUGUGGGAGAGGAUGGUAGAAUUCCAGGUGUAGCGGAGAAAUGCGUAGAGAUCUGGAGGAAUACCGAUGGCGAAGGCAGCCAUCUGGCCUAACACUGACGCUGAGGUACGAAAGCAUGGGGAGCAAACAGG